This 253-nucleotide ribosomal RNA is filed under the name uncultured bacterium. Its description in RNAcentral is "partial 16S ribosomal RNA". It matches the Rfam family "Bacterial small subunit ribosomal RNA", at positions 524 to 776 of the family's 1533-position model. The record is from RNAcentral.
UACGUAGGGUGCAAGCGUUAAUCGGAAUUACUGGGCGUAAAGCGUGCGCAGGCGGCUUUGCAAGACAGAUGUGAAAUCCCCGGGCUUAACCUGGGAACUGCAUUUGUGACUGCAUGGCUGGAGUGCGGCAGAGGGGGAUGGAAUUCCGCGUGUAGCAGUGAAAUGCGUAGAUAUGUGGAGGAACACCGAUGGCGAAGGCAGCCCCCUGGGUUAACACUGACGCUCAUGCACGAAAGCGUGGGGAGCAAACAGG